RNAcentral lists this ribosomal RNA (433 nucleotides) under uncultured bacterium. RNAcentral describes it as "partial 16S ribosomal RNA". It matches the Rfam family "Bacterial small subunit ribosomal RNA", at positions 29 to 507 of the family's 1533-position model. The record is from RNAcentral.
AGCGAACGCUGGCGGCAGGCCUAACACAUGCAAGUCGAACGAACUCUUCGGGCUUGGUGGCGGACGGGGGGGUAACAGGUGGGGACGUGCCUUUUGGUUCGGAAUAACUCAGGGAAACUUGUCCUAAUACCGACUGUGCUCUUCCAGGGGAAGGUUUAUCGCCAUUAGGGGGGCCUGCGUCUGAUUAGCUAGUUGGGGAGGUAACUGCUCAUCAAGGGGUGGAUAAGUAGCUGGGUUGAGAGGAUGACCCGCCACACUGGGGCUGAGACACGGCCCAGACUCCUACGCGAGGGAGGAGUGGGGAAUCUAGCGAAAUGGGCGAAGGGAUGACGCAGCCAGGCCGGGUGAAUGAUGAAGGUCUUAGGAAUGUGAAAUUCUUUCACAGGGGGCGAUAAUGACGGUACCCGGAGAAGAAGCCCCGGCUAACUUCGUG